GGGGCUCCUUUGAGGUCGGAGCCCACCGCCCCGCUCCGCCCCGCAGCCACCCUUGUUCAAGAAGGGGCAGCGUUGCUCAGAGCUUGCUGGAUGCUUAAGGCAGACGAGGGGGCCGGGAUCCCAGGCAGAGCGACGGAGUUCAGCCUGGAGUGAGGGUAGGAGAAACCCAAGGAAGGGCUGAGAACGCAGCGCCGAUAGCAGGCGGAAUGAAGCGCGGAGCUCAGCCGGAUCUCAGCAAUCAUCACCCGCUCAAAUUUGAAGGGAGCCCAGCAGGGUGAAAUAUUUGGGUUAUGAAAUCGCUGCUGGAUCCUGAGCCCCGGGAACAACGGGCUGAGAUGGAGCUCCGGGCUUUCCGAGGAUACGAGGCGGUGCUGCCGACCCGACGGAAGGCUGCUCAGAGCCCUCCGUGCCCUGCUGGAGUCCACAGGUCCUCAUACAGGUUGAGGAAGGCAAAUAGGAUCAAGGUUUACCUGCUGCAAUUGGACUCAGCUGUUAGAACAGAAGCUUCUAUUGCGUGCCGUGAGCUUGAAUGUGCGCACAGGCGCCUCAUUAAACAUCGCAUCUCAUUAAACAACUCCUUAUUAAACCCUCCUUGUUAAAGGGGACCCUGCGGUGCUGCAGCCGUCCCUCCUGUGCCGCCCCCUGGCACCCAGGCUUUGGUGCUGUCAGUGUUGGACGUCGUAGGAAAAUAAGUUCCAAAAAACAUCACGGCCUUCAAUCGGUGCUCCUGAAAUGAAGAUCAGAUUCACAGCUGGCAGUCGCUUAAAAGGUAAAAAAAUCCAAACACCAAAAGGCUCCGUGCGUCCAGCGCCUGCAGUCUGACCCACGAAGGCCGAAGCACCGGAGCUCCGCAGCCCCGACUUCAAGAAAAUCCCCUCCUGCUGCCGACGUUGCACGGCUCAGGCUGCCCCCAUCCUCCACAACGCCUGGCACUGGGAUCAACCCGUCCUCGAUGCCCUCCUGCACCGCAGCCCCAGUGCUUCCCAGCUCUUCUCUUCUCCCCUUCUUAAGAACAGAGCAGGGUUUCCCUUUUCCAGUCACCAGCCGGAAACCCGGCCUGACAGAGGCAACU
Long non-coding RNA from Centrocercus urophasianus (Greater sage-grouse), 1072 nucleotides. RefSeq lists it as uncharacterized. The record is from RefSeq and is a predicted model, not a curated record. NCBI's taxonomy places the organism in Eukaryota, Metazoa, Chordata, Aves, Galliformes, Phasianidae. The transcript has 3 exons.